RNAcentral lists this ribosomal RNA (400 nucleotides) under uncultured bacterium. RNAcentral describes it as "bacterial SSU rRNA". It matches the Rfam family "Bacterial small subunit ribosomal RNA", at positions 89 to 524 of the family's 1533-position model. The record is from RNAcentral.
GUGGGAGUGGCAGACGGGUGAGUGACGCGUGGGAACGUACCAUCCGGUUCGGGAUAACCCAGGAAUACUUGGGCUAAUACCGGAUACGUGAUAUGGCAGAAAGGUUUACUACCGGAGGAUCGACCCGCGUCUGAUUAGAUAGUUGGUGGGGUUAUGGCAUACGAAGGCUGCGAUCAGUACAUGGUCUGAGAGGAUGAUCACCCACUCUGGGAGUGAGACACGGCCCAGACUCUUACGGGAGGCAGCAGUGGGGAAUAGUGGACAAUGGGCGCAAGCAUGAUCCAGCCAUGCUGCGUGAGUGAUGAAGUCAUUAGGGUUGUAAAGCUCUUUUACCCGGGACGAUAAUGACGGUACCGGGAGAAUAAGCCCCGGCUAACUUCGUGCCAGCAGCCGCGGUAAU